GAAACUACAAGGCUAUUCAUUUCCUCCUCGUCUAUAAAGUUGAAAACAGCCUAGCUUUCUGUUCCAGGAGGCAUGGAUCCACAUAACCUGUUGCAUUCACACAACAGAACACAAUUGAGACGUAGGAAGACGGAUGAGGAAGAGUGAUGUGUGUCAGCACGGAGAGGCCCUGAAAACAUGGUCGAGCCUCCGAAAAAAGAAGAGAGAUCAGGGAUCAAACAAGAGCCUCAAGAAUCAAGAGCAAACUAAUACAAGGGCUGUGACUUUUGUCCUCUGAAUUGGUGAGUAUAGCUUUGGGGACUGGAAAUCUGGGAAAUGCUGGGUGGC
Rattus norvegicus (Norway rat) is the source of this 327-nucleotide long non-coding RNA. RefSeq lists it as uncharacterized. The record is from RefSeq and is a predicted model, not a curated record. NCBI's taxonomy places the organism in Eukaryota, Metazoa, Chordata, Mammalia, Rodentia, Muridae.